RNAcentral lists this transfer RNA (76 nucleotides) under Acidobacteriota bacterium. RNAcentral's name for it is "Acidobacteria bacterium tRNA-Gly". It matches the Rfam family "tRNA". From Rfam's summary of the family: Transfer RNA (tRNA) molecules are approximately 80 nucleotides in length. Their secondary structure includes four short double-helical elements and three loops (D, anti-codon, and T loops). Further hydrogen bonds mediate the characteristic L-shaped molecular structure. tRNAs have two regions of fundamental functional importance: the anti-codon, which is responsible for specific mRNA codon recognition, and the 3' end, to which the tRNAs corresponding amino acid is attached (by aminoacyl-tRNA synthetases). tRNAs cope with the degeneracy of the genetic code in two manners: having more than one tRNA (with a specific anti-codon) for a particular amino acid; and 'wobble' base-pairing, i.e. permitting non-standard base-pairing at the 3rd anti-codon position. RNAcentral also lists the same sequence under 2 other names. Lineage: Bacteria; Pseudomonadati; Acidobacteriota. The record is from RNAcentral.
GCGGGCGUAGCUCAGUUGGUAGAGCAUCAGCUUCCCAAGCUGAGGGUCGCGGGUUCGAGACCCGUCGCCCGCUCCA